ACAUUGGUGACCCAGUGGUAGAAUUCUUGCCUUCUUUGCAAGAGACCCAGGUUUGAUUCCCAGCCGAUGUA
This 71-nucleotide transfer RNA is filed under the name Loxodonta africana (African savanna elephant). It matches the Rfam family "tRNA". From Rfam's summary of the family: Transfer RNA (tRNA) molecules are approximately 80 nucleotides in length. Their secondary structure includes four short double-helical elements and three loops (D, anti-codon, and T loops). Lineage: Eukaryota; Metazoa; Chordata; Mammalia; Proboscidea; Elephantidae. The record is from Rfam by way of RNAcentral.